Molecule: non-coding RNA, 265 nt
Organism: Nylanderia fulva
Lineage: Eukaryota; Metazoa; Arthropoda; Insecta; Hymenoptera; Formicidae
Source: RefSeq, a predicted model, not a curated record
AUAAAAAAAUAUAAAAAAAGCAAUCGCGAAGGUAAUAUAUAUGAUUGUGCAUAAUUCAAGAUUGGAGGUUAAGUGUAUGUUUUGGUCGUUUCGGAAGAGAAAAACGUACCGUAACAUAAAGUAUACACAUGCGGAUUAUGCGAAAUAAUUCUUGGGGACCUUGAGGAUGAAGAAACAUGGUCCCAUGAAUGUUUUGCAAAUUAUUCAGAGAUUGUUUUUGAUGUGAAUAGCUUGUAUUUAUAUCCCAAAUGUGAAGAUGGAAGCA